This 510-nucleotide ribosomal RNA is filed under the name uncultured bacterium. Its description in RNAcentral is "SSU rRNA". It matches the Rfam family "Bacterial small subunit ribosomal RNA", at positions 26 to 523 of the family's 1533-position model. The record is from RNAcentral.
AGGACGAACGCUGGCGGCGCGCUUAACACAUGCAAGUCGAGCGAGAACCAGGCCUUCGGGCUUGGGGAAAGCGGCGAACGGGUGAGUAACACGUGGGCAACCCACCCUUGGUACCGGGAUAGCCCGAGGAAACUCGGAUUAAUACCGGAUGGCCCAACAGCUCUUCGGGGCGGUUGGAAAAGGUAGCUUCGGCCUCCGACCAAGGACGGGCCCGCGGCGGAUUAGCUUGUUGGUGAGGUAACGGCUCACCAAGGCGACGAUCCGUAGCUGGUCUGAGAGGACGAUCAGCCACACUGGGACUGAGACACGGCCCAGACUCCUACGGGAGGCAGCAGUGGGGAAUCUUGCGCAAUGGGCGAAAGCCUGACGCAGCGACGCCGCGUGGGGGAAGAAGGCUUUCGGGUUGUAAACCCCUUUCAGGAGAGACGAAGCUACUCGGGUUAAUAGCCCAGAGGGUGACGGUAUCUUCAGAAGAAGCCCCGGCUAACUACGUGCCAGCAGCCGCGGUAA